Long non-coding RNA from Gallus gallus (chicken), 896 nucleotides. NCBI's taxonomy places the organism in Eukaryota, Metazoa, Chordata, Aves, Galliformes, Phasianidae. The record is from Ensembl.
AACGAUGUCUGUCAGGCUGUUUGAGCUAACUGAUGUAAUAUUCCAUCUGAUUGCAAACACGUGGAGAUUAUUUAUUUGUUUGUUUGUUUGUUUCCUUCCCUCAGUAGAAUAAAGAGAUUUUCAUUGUUUGUGAGGUGGACGUGUGGAGUAAAGAUGUAGAUAUUUUCAGAUGCCUGAAGAUUCAAAAGUCUCCUUAUACAGUGCAAGUCUGCUUUUCUCCUGCUGCCAGAGAGAGGUGAACAUAGAGGAUCUGUACUGCACUUCUGCCAGGCCAGAGGCAUCUAGUUUCAUGUUGAUUGUUUUGAUCUGUUUGCCCUCAUACACUGAAAUGUUUGGGUGGAAAUGCACCCCACAAAGACUGAGCGGUAAGCAGAGUAAUAGCUUCAUUGGAGCAGAGCAAAACAGCAGGGGUGUCAUGGUGCUCCUGGGUCUGUAACACUUCAUUGGAAACACUGGGCAAGAAUGGAGGGAGCUAUAAUUAGGGGAUGUUGAGCAAGGCUGACCUGGUGAGAUGGAAGCAGAUACAUUGUUGGGUAACACUGCAAACCAUGAGUUGCAGAGGAUCAACUCAGGACAUCACAGACAUACUUGGACCAUGGCCCAAGUUGAUUUAUAUAAAUUAUUUUUUAUAUUUGCAUUUAUAUUUAUUUUUCAUACUACAUAUAAAAGACUUGUAUUUUAUUAUAAUUUGUAGAGUAAGUCUGAUUUCUGUCAAAGAAGGUUUUUUUUAGCUAUGAGGCUGCAUUUAUACUAACUUAUUUUUAGUUAUGUUGUUGUUUGUAUCUUCCUUUUAAGAGCUGCGAUGUUACGGAUUUUGCACAAAUGAGAAUGUUGAAAACACAUAGUUAAAUCUUUGUUUAUGCAUUGUUUCUCUUUAUAAAGUAAAAAGCAACAGC